AACGCUAGCUACAGGCUUAACACAUGCAAGUCGAGGGGCAGCAUGGUCUUAGCUUGCUAAGGCCGAUGGCAACCGGCGCACGGGUGAGUAACACGUAUCCAACCUGCCGUCUACUCUUGGACAGCCUUCUGAAAGGAAGAUUAAUACAAGAUGGCAUCAUGAGUCCGCAUGUUCACAUGAUUAAAGGUAUUCCGGUAGACGAUGGGGAUGCGUUCCAUUAGAUAGUAGGCGGGGUAACGGCCCACCUAGUCUUCGAUGGAUAGGGGUUCUGAGAGGAAGGUCCCCCACAUUGGAACUGAGACACGGUCCAAACUCCUACGGGAGGCAGCAGUGAGGAAUAUUGGUCAAUGGGCGAGAGCCUGAACCAGCCAAGUAGCGUGAAGGAUGACUGCCCUAUGGGUUGUAAACUUCUUUUAUAAAGGAAUAAAGUCGGGUAUGGAUACCCGUUUGCAUGUACUUUAUGAAUAAGGAUCGGCUAACUCCGUGCCAGCAGCCGCGGUAAUACGGAGGAUCCGAGCGUUAUCCGGAUUUAUUGGGUUUAAAGGGAGCGUAGAUGGAUGUUUAAGUCAGUUGUGAAAGUUUGCGGCUCAACCGUAAAAUUGCAGUUGAUACUGGAUAUCUUGAGUGCAGUUGAGGCAGGCGGAAUUCGUGGUGUAGCGGUGAAAUGCUUAGAUAUCACGAAGAACUCCGAUUG
Molecule: ribosomal RNA, 694 nt
Filed under: uncultured bacterium
Lineage: Bacteria
Description: bacterial SSU rRNA
Rfam family: Bacterial small subunit ribosomal RNA
Source: RNAcentral